AACUAGGAUGCCUUCAGUAACGGCGAGCGAAGCAGGCAUAGCUCAAAUUUGUAAUCUGGCGCCUUUGGCGUCCGAGUUGUAUUUUCUAGAAGCGAGUUCGGCGACAGCUCCUACCCAAGUCCGUUGGAACGCGGCGUCAUGGAGGGUGAGAAUCCCGUGAAUGGUAGGAUGUCUGCUGCUAUGUGAACCGCCUUCGAAGAGUCGAGUUGUUUGGGAAUGCAGCUCUAAAUGGGAGGUAAAUUUCUUCUAAAGCUAAAUAUUGGCCAGAGACCGAUAGCGAACAAGUAGAGUGAUCGAAAGAUGAAAAGAACUUUGAAAAGAGAGUUAAACAGUACGUGAAAUUGUUGAAAGGGAAGCGCUUGAGAUCAGACUUCCUGUCUGGACUGUCCUUGCUUUUGCUUGGGUCAACAGUCCAGGCGUGGAGGCCAGCAUCAGUUUUGACGGCCGGAUAAAGGCCUUGGGAAGGUAGCUCCCCUCGGGGAGUGUUAUAGCCCAGGGUGUAAUACGGCCAGUUGGGACUGAGGACCGCGGCUCUGCCUAGGAUGCUGG
RNAcentral lists this ribosomal RNA (549 nucleotides) under Taphrina inositophila. Its description in RNAcentral is "partial large subunit ribosomal RNA". It matches the Rfam family "Eukaryotic large subunit ribosomal RNA", at positions 67 to 629 of the family's 3401-position model. The record is from RNAcentral. Lineage: Eukaryota; Fungi; Ascomycota; Taphrinomycetes; Taphrinales; Taphrinaceae.